CCGUAGCUCAGCUGGAUAGAGCAACGGCCUUCUAAGCCGUGGGUCGCAGGUUCGAAUCCUGCCGGA
RNAcentral lists this transfer RNA (66 nucleotides) under Nephroselmis pyriformis. It matches the Rfam family "tRNA", at positions 5 to 66 of the family's 71-position model. Rfam says of the family: Transfer RNA (tRNA) molecules are approximately 80 nucleotides in length. RNAcentral also lists the same sequence under 11 other names. The record is from RNAcentral. Lineage: Eukaryota; Viridiplantae; Chlorophyta; Nephroselmidophyceae; Nephroselmidales; Nephroselmidaceae.